RNAcentral lists this ribosomal RNA (497 nucleotides) under uncultured bacterium. RNAcentral's name for it is "partial 16S ribosomal RNA". It matches the Rfam family "Bacterial small subunit ribosomal RNA", at positions 28 to 507 of the family's 1533-position model. The record is from RNAcentral.
GAUGAACGCUGGCGGCGUGCCUAAUACAUGCAAGUCGAGCGAACAGACGAGGAGCUUGCUCCUCUGACGUUAGCGGCGGACGGGUGAGUAACACGUGGAUAACCUACCUAUAAGACUGGGAUAACUUCGGGAAACCGGAGCUAAUACCGGAUAAUAUAUUGAACCGCAUGGUUCAAUAGUGAAAGACGGUUUUGCUGUCACUUAUAGAUGGAUCCGCGCCGCAUUAGCUAGUUGGUAAGGUAACGGCUUACAAAGGCAACGAUGCGUAGCCGACCUGAGAGGGUGAUCGGCCACACUGGAACUGAGACACGGUCCAGACUCCUACGGGAGGCAGCAGUAUGGAAUCUUCCGCAAUGGGCGAAAGCCUGACGGAGCAACGCCGCGUGAGUGAUGAAGGUCUUCGGAUCGUAAAACUCUGUUAUUAGGGAAGAACAAAUGUGUAAGUAACUAUGCACGUCUUGACGGUACCUAAUCAGAAAGCCACGGCUAACUACGUG